Molecule: long non-coding RNA, 140 nt
Filed under: Chinchilla lanigera (long-tailed chinchilla)
Lineage: Eukaryota; Metazoa; Chordata; Mammalia; Rodentia; Chinchillidae
Description: lncRNA (ENSCLAG00000022402.1)
Source: RNAcentral
GGGUAGUGAGCAUCUUCUUUGUUCUCCUUAACCUUCCACAUCUUUUGACCCAACCACACACUCCAAGAAGUGCUAUUCAUAAUAAUAAAUAUGGUUAUUCAACAGUUGUCACUCUUAAACUGAUCUUUAAAUUUUCCUAA